This is a long non-coding RNA of Gasterosteus aculeatus aculeatus (three-spined stickleback), 2148 nucleotides long. Lineage: Eukaryota; Metazoa; Chordata; Actinopteri; Perciformes; Gasterosteidae. The record is from Ensembl.
GCCGAGUCGACCUUCAACCCGCCCAAAUCUGCCUAAUGAGAGCAACAGACCAACUGGACACAAGCAAAACAUUUCCUGGGGUGUGAUUGUGAAGGGAGAGCCUUAUUGGAGCCCUUUGAAGCGGAGGGAGAGUGGACGGUGAGAGCCGGCUGCUUGGGCUUUUUAGGGUCGUCUGUGCGGGCGAGGCUAUUUCGAGUCACAAUAGUCGGAGGAAACGUGCUUAUAAAUGUUUCAAGAAGGGUGCAGCAUCUUAGGACGCGAGACAGAGAGCGGUGCAGAGCAGUGGCGUGCUGUCCUCUGCUGCAUUACGUUGUUUGUCAGGCCCAACGCGGAAAUCUGCAGCGACUUACAAAUGAUGCAUUCAACCAAGAGGCGACGAAGCCAGAACGACAAGGAAACCUCAUCAGACCCAAAGCAUCUCAACGUGUUCCUGUAUAUCAUUUAUUUUCCGCCCGAGACUUUGCAUGAGCUUGCGUGUCACCAUUUUUUAAGCACUUCGGCACUUGGCUAUGGGUGGUGUUGGCCGGGCUUCCUGUUUUUCUCCAGCUCCGCAUUACAGACCGAGUUGAAACAGACAGUAGACCAGAUGGACAGAUAGUCCAACACACAAAAAAAAGCUACCCUCUCUCGCCAGGUUUGGUGGAGUAAGAUGAGGAAGGCAGCAGAGGGACAGAGCAGCCGGUGGAGCAGACAGACGCUUCGGUCCGGCAUCCGCAGACCUCCUCGCGGCAGCACUCCCAUACGCAUACGCUAAUGCUGCAGCAGCAGCCUGUGGGCUGCCGUCCAGUGUUGUGUGCUGUGUGUGCGGUUCAGUUCAGAGGGGUUUUCAUGUGCAUGUCUGCUGCAUUUGUGUCAUGGGAAAAAUAUUUAUGAAAUCCCCUUGGCGUCCUUCGAGGUUAAAGAAAAGGCUGGAUCACAAAAACAGGGCAAAACACUACAGAGAGGACAACUAUGUCCUAAAGGCUUAGUGGUGAAUUUUAAGUUUAAGGAAUAUUUACCAUUGAAAAUAUUUUUACCUGGCAGGAUAAUUAUCCUGCUGUACUUUGAUAAUCCUAUAUACAAUUUGUGUAGCAAAACCUUUGUCUUUAUGUAUUGCUCUCAGCUUGAUGGUUUCUCAUUCUGGUAUCAGGAGUGAAAAGACGCCCUGGCCUUGUGUAAUUCGUUCCAUCAUCCAUCCAUUUGAUAACACAAAUAAAGAACGCGAGUAAAGGAAAUCAGUUGCACCGCAAAAAUACAGCCUGCGUUUGGUUUGGUCCCAACGUUGCUUUGCUUCACAUGUAAGCACUGUCCAAUUAUUCUCUAUUGACUUUAUAGAUGUUACUUUAAAAUAAAUGUCAUACUCACAGAAAUAUGGGAAUAUGCUUCUUGUUUUGUAUUAUAAAGUGUAUAUAUAUGUAUGUAUCCACCUAGCAGACAUCGAGGGGCCACGGCAUUCCUCGGACAAAAAAUAUCUGCAUCUAAAUGUUCAGCAGCUAAUUGAAGCUGGAGUUUACACUAUAACACUCUACUCUUGUAUUCUUAGGCUACUUGGUUCCUCGUACAUCUCCCAGUGAUUCCUCUUUCAUUUCCUUGAUGGUCUCGUUCAGGGACGUCUAUCCUUUUAGCAGCUGUACUGAACACGUGUCUCCAUCCAAUGGCACAAUGAAACAAUUACAUCGUGAGCCGAUCCUAUUACCUCGCUGCCGUCCCUUUAAAUAUGGUUUCAGUCACCUUGUUACUCACCUCACCAUCUUCACAGGACCAUCAGCUCCAUCACCUCAUGGUGGAGAUUUCUCACACUGCCGCUGGAGGCAGCAGCACCUUGAUUACAAAGCGCCAAAGACUCCGUGAAGACUUUAUCAUCACGUAUCAGCUGCCAAUUAGAAACAAUGACUGUUUCUGACUUUUCUCUCCUGAUUAAAUUGCGUGUUUGCUGUUCAGUUCAAGUACAUCACACACUUCUUCACAAACUGGUGAUGAACGUCUUGCUUUCAGUUACUUCGCUCUUCACAGCAGAUCUCAUAUUUAUGUUGCUGAAGCCUUCUCCGCCUCCAACACAUGAAGGGUAUACAUAAAUAUGUCUCAGAAGAAGUAGAAAAAAAUGAUCACAGUAAGAUAUCUCUGUACUGUUAAAUAUAGAUAAACUGGCCAUGUGUGGGUGAAUUCAAC